RNAcentral lists this ribosomal RNA (461 nucleotides) under uncultured bacterium. Its description in RNAcentral is "partial 16S ribosomal RNA". It matches the Rfam family "Bacterial small subunit ribosomal RNA", at positions 338 to 795 of the family's 1533-position model. The record is from RNAcentral.
CCUACGGGUGGCAGCAGUGAGGAAUAUUGGUCAAUGGGCGCAAGCCUGAACCAGCCAAGUCGCGUGAGGGAAGACGGCCCUACGGGUUGUAAACCUCUUUUGCCGGGGAGCAAGCCUGAGCACGUGUGCCCAGGCGGAGAGUACCCGGAGAAAAAGCAUCGGCUAACUCCGUGCCAGCAGCCGCGGUAAUACGGAGGAUGCGAGCGUUAUCCGGAUUUAUUGGGUUUAAAGGGAGCGUAGGCCGGUCUUUAAGCGUGCCGUGAAAUUUUGUGGCUCAACCAUGAGAGUGCGGCGCGAACUGGAGGCCUUGAGUGCGCGGAAGGCAGGCGGAAUGCGUGGUGUAGCGGUGAAAUGCUUAGAUAUCACGAAGAACCCCGAUUGCGAAGGCAGCCUGCCGCAGCGUUACUGACGCUGAGGCUCGAAAGCGCGGGUAUCGAACAGGAUUAGAUACCCUGGUAGUC